CCUACGGGGGGCUGCAGUGGGGAAUAUUGGACAAUGGGGGGAACCCAGAUCCAGCCAUGCCGCGUGUGUGAAGAAGGCCCUCGGGUUGUAAAGCACUUUCAGUGAGGAAGAACGCCUGGUGGUUAAUACCCAUCAGGAAAGACAUCACUCACAGAAGAAGCACCGGCUAACUCCGUGCCAGCAGCCGCGGUAAUACGGAGGGUGCGAGCGUUAAUCGGAAUUACUGGGCGUAAAGCGCGCGUAGGUGGCUUGAUAAGCCGGUUGUGAAAGCCCCGGGCUCAACCUGGGAACGGCAUCCGGAACUGUCAAGCUAGAGUGCAGGAGAGGAAGGUAGAAUUCCCGGUGUAGCGGUGAAAUGCGUAGAGAUCGGGAGGAAUACCAGUGGCGAAGGCGGCCUUCUGGACUGACACUGACACUGAGGUGCGAAAGCGUGGGUAGCAAACAGGAUUAGAUACCCUGGUAGUC
This 465-nucleotide ribosomal RNA is filed under the name Vreelandella stevensii. Its description in RNAcentral is "partial 16S ribosomal RNA". It matches the Rfam family "Bacterial small subunit ribosomal RNA", at positions 338 to 795 of the family's 1533-position model. Lineage: Bacteria; Pseudomonadati; Pseudomonadota; Gammaproteobacteria; Oceanospirillales; Halomonadaceae. The record is from RNAcentral.